Molecule: ribosomal RNA, 174 nt
Filed under: uncultured bacterium
Lineage: Bacteria
Description: partial 16S ribosomal RNA
Rfam family: Bacterial small subunit ribosomal RNA
Source: RNAcentral
CUGCACGAAGCCGGAGUUGCUAGUAAUCGCGAAUCAGAAUGUCGCGGUGAAUGCGUUCCCGGGUCUUGUACACACCGCCCGUCACACCAUGGAAGUUGGGGGUGCCCAAAGCCGGCAAGCAAAUAUGCUGUCUAAGGCAAAACCAAUGACUGGGUGAAGUCGUAACAAGGUACC